RNAcentral lists this ribosomal RNA (846 nucleotides) under uncultured bacterium. RNAcentral describes it as "bacterial SSU rRNA". It matches the Rfam family "Bacterial small subunit ribosomal RNA", at positions 1 to 839 of the family's 1533-position model. The record is from RNAcentral.
ACAUUAGAGUUUGAUCCUGGCUCAGAUUGAACGCUGGCGGCAUGCCUUACACAUGCAAGUCGAACGGCAGCACGGGAGCAAUCCUGGUGGCGAGUGGCGAACGGGUGAGUAAUGCAUCGGAACGUGCCCAGUGGUGGGGGAUAGCCCGGCGAAAGCCGGAUUAAUACCGCAUACGACCCAUGGGUGAAAGCGGGGGACUCGCAAGGGCCUCGCGCCAUUGGAGCGGCCGAUGUCAGAUUAGGUAGUUGGUGGGGUAAAGGCCCACCAAGCCGACGAUCUGUAGCUGGUCUGAGAGGACGACCAGCCACACUGGGACUGAGACACGGCCCAGACUCCUACGGGAGGCAGCAGUGGGGAAUUUUGGACAAUGGGCGCAAGCCUGAUCCAGCCAUGCCGCGUGCGGGAAGAAGGCCUUCGGGUUGUAAACCGCUUUUGUCGGGGAAGAAAUGCUCCGGGCUAAUAUCCUGGGGAGAUGACGGUACCCGAAGAAUAAGCACCGGCUAACUACGUGCCAGCAGCCGCGGUAAUACGUAGGGUGCAAGCGUUAAUCGGAAUUACUGGGCGUAAAGCGUGCGCAGGCGGUUGUGCAAGACAGAUGUGAAAUCCCCGGGCUCAACCUGGGAACUGCAUUUGUGACUGCACGGCUGGAGUGCGGCAGAGGGGGAUGGAAUUCCGCGUGUAGCAGUGAAAUGCGUAGAUAUGCGGAGGAACACCGAUGGCGAAGGCAAUCCCCUGGACCUGUACUGACGCUCAUGCACGAAGCGUGGGGGAGCAAACAGGAUUAGAUACCCUGGUAGUCCACGCCCUAAACGAUGUCAACUGGGUUGUUGGGGUCUUCACUGACUC